Molecule: unclassified non-coding RNA, 154 nt
Filed under: uncultured Ascomycota
Lineage: Eukaryota; Fungi; Ascomycota
Description: sequence contains ITS1
Source: RNAcentral
CCGAGUUUACAACUCCCAAACCCCUGUGAACAUUACCUAUUGUUGCUUCGGCGGGAUCGCCCCGGCGCCUUCGGGCCCGGACCCUGGCGCCCGCCGGAGGACCCAAACUCUUGUCUUCAUGAGAAUCUUCUGAGUGAUACAAGCAAAUAAAUUA